CUCUAACCCUCUAUGUGUUUGUGUUUUUGUUUGGUAACUGUUGCACAAUUCGAAGAAGUAAAAAAGAGCACAAAAAAUGGUGGUAAGGAUUUGAUUAUCGAGGUUUGGGUACAAGAACAAGCCAUUCUAUCAAGUCAUGGCUACCGAUAGCAGAUCCCCAAGAGAUGGCAAGCACCUCGAAGUUCUAGGUUAUUACAAUCUCUUACUAGGAAAGGGUAAAUAUUGUCUCAUCUCAUCAUAUUUUUCAGUCCUUAUAAAGAGUGUGUCAGCUCUUUUACACUUACUACAUCUACUCAUCUUAAUAUUUUCCCGUUUCAAAUUCAAAAUUGUUUCCUUUCCCCCUCAUUUUCUUCUUUUCUUCACCAAACCUAACAAGGGAGGGGGGAGGAAAUUUUCUGCAUGAGUAAUCUUUUUUGCAUAGAUGGGAUAGGAUUUCGCAUAUAACUUUCUCCCUCUCUUCUACAUCGCUGGAAAAGAGGAGAAUUAGUGGCUGUAAGAAGCUCCCUCUUUCAAUCCAAGGAUGCGAGGAGGCCAAGAAUUUUAAGAUCAACAGAGAGAUCCGUUUCCUUCUUACACAUCAGGUAUGAAUCUCCAUAGGGUAAGGUCCUGUUUUUCUCAUUAGAAUCACUACAUCAUGUACAUAUCUUCAUCUCUGUAUUGGCUAUUGUACAUGCCAUGUUUUGUGUCACCACACUGCUGCUUGGAGGCGCAAUUACGUAUCCAUAAUUUGGGCAAAUAUGAUAUUGUAUUGCAAUAAUUCAUUUUCAAGGACCUUAUAACAAUUCUGCUAAAUGUUGUUUUAUCUUUCAUACUUCCUUUAUUGUGUUCCACAGCUGGGAUGCAUAUUGGUUAGUCUUUAAUUAUCUACCUGAGUUCAUAUCUAGCAGAAUGUGGAUGUCAUAAUUUUUUUAAUCCUCUUUUUAAGUAUAAGUUUGAGGCUAUCAUCUUCACUAGACUGCUAAAGGUAUUGAGUAUGGUAUUGG
This is a long non-coding RNA of Neltuma alba, 983 nucleotides long. RefSeq lists it as uncharacterized. The record is from RefSeq and is a predicted model, not a curated record. The transcript has 2 exons. NCBI's taxonomy places the organism in Eukaryota, Viridiplantae, Streptophyta, Magnoliopsida, Fabales, Fabaceae.